AGGGGUGUGGCUACACAGGUAGAGCAUAUGCUUUGCAAAUCUGAGGCCCCUGGUUCGAUCCCUGGCACCACUU
RNAcentral lists this transfer RNA (73 nucleotides) under Erinaceus europaeus (western European hedgehog). It matches the Rfam family "tRNA". Rfam says of the family: Transfer RNA (tRNA) molecules are approximately 80 nucleotides in length. Their secondary structure includes four short double-helical elements and three loops (D, anti-codon, and T loops). The record is from Rfam by way of RNAcentral. Lineage: Eukaryota; Metazoa; Chordata; Mammalia; Eulipotyphla; Erinaceidae.